RNAcentral lists this long non-coding RNA (1080 nucleotides) under Mus spicilegus (steppe mouse). RNAcentral describes it as "lncRNA (ENSMSIG00000009956.1)". Lineage: Eukaryota; Metazoa; Chordata; Mammalia; Rodentia; Muridae. The record is from RNAcentral.
CAGAAUCUCAGGUACAGGUAGAAAUGAGAUGAGUGUUUCAGUUCAUAAUGCAUGUGAUUAUUUUCUACAUAGGACUGGUGGGUGGGGACUCAAAGAGGGAGAGUUAGCUCUUGGGAGGAGAUAAAGUGACAUUAUAGAUAAGAGAAUAUAGCCAGGGAGAGCAGACAGAAAGGCAUGAUGGGAGACUCAUGAGCAGAAGCAGAGGAGAGGACGGAAAUAAUUACUUCCGAGGAAGGUGAAGAAUUACAUGAUGAAGAUUCUGGUCUGUGUGCCACGAAAUUCCUCCCAGCAGGCAAGGUCAGACUCUGAAAACAAAACAAAAUCUCUAAUUGAUGAGAAAGAUUGGUCCAGAAAAUGACAGGAUGCAAGCUUUGUAGUUUGGGGGUGUUGCCAUGGUUACCUUGAUCCAAGCACUAUUCCGGGAGCUAUAGGCAUAGCUAGAGUCAAGGCUGAGAUAUCUCCCUUGCAUGGUGUUUCCGUAUUUGUCAGUGGAGACAUGGCCAGUGUCCAGCCUGGAAAGCAGUGAGAGGUGGAACUUUGCACAGAAGUUAGAUCUGGACCCAGGACCAGAAGAGAACGAGGAGCUCAAGUUCCAGAGUCAGUGGCGAGAGUUUGGAGAUAUGGAAAUGAAAGAAAGAAUGACAGAUGAUGGUGGGACCCUGUACGCAGCCUUGAGACCCUCUGCAAGGCAAUGAGAUAGCUCAGACAGCCACAGAACACUGCAGAAGAUGUGAGACCUGAAGACUGUGAUGAGAUCCACAGAUAACUCUGGCACUCUCAAUACGGCUGUGGGACCAGUAGAUAGUCUUGAGAUACUUCAGAUGACUGUGGAACCAACCAACCAACAACCCUAAGACCUUGGGACCCUGAAGACAGCGAUGAGACUCUGCAGAUGGCCAUGGGAACCUGUAGGAAGUCAUAAGACCCUGCAGACAACCAUGAGACUCUGCAAAAGGUCAUCAGACUGUGGAGAUGGCAAUGAGGCCUUGCAAAUGGUUGUGAGACCCUGCAUAUAACCAAGAAUCUCUGCAGAAUGUCAUGAGACCACCCUGCAAAUGCCAUGAGACUACCCUGCAGAUG